Molecule: ribosomal RNA, 253 nt
Filed under: uncultured bacterium
Lineage: Bacteria
Description: partial 16S ribosomal RNA
Rfam family: Bacterial small subunit ribosomal RNA
Source: RNAcentral
GACAGAGGGUGCAAACGUUGUUCGGAAUUACUGGGCGUAAAGCGUGUGUAGGCGGCUUUGCAAGUCGGAUGUGAAAGCCCCGGGCUCAACCCGGGAAGUGCACUCGAUACUGCAGAACUUGAGUGUGGGAGAGGUUGGUGGAAUUCUCGGUGUAGAGGUGAAAUUCGUAGAUAUCGAGAGGAACACCGGCGGCGAAGGCGGCCAACUGGACCAACACUGACGCUGAGACACGAAAGCGUGGGGAGCAAACAGG